AACGGCCGCGGUACCCUAACCGUGCGAAGGUAGCAUAAUCACUUGUUCUUUAAAUAGGGACUCGUAUCAACGGCAUCACGAGGGCUAUACUGUCUCCUUUCUCUAAUCAGUGAAACUGAUCUCCUCGUGAAGAAGCGAGGAUAGUUUUAUAAGACGAGAAGACCCCAUGGAGCUUUAAACCCAAUGUACAUCUCUACGCAUAUAAGCCCCAAUAGCCCAAGAAAAUUGUAUGUUGGUUUUGGGUUGGGGGGACCGCGGAGAAAAAAUUAACCUCCACGACAAACGGGCCUAUGCCCUUAUCCAUGAGCUACCACUCUAAGAAUCAAUAAACUGAUGUUCAGUGACCCAAUUUAUUGAUCAACGAACCAAGUUACCCUGGGGAUAACAGCGCAAUCUACUUCAAGAGCCCCUAUCGACAAGUAGGUUUACGACCUCGAUGUUGGAUCAGGGUAUCCUAGUNNNNNNCUAGCCAGUCUACCCAAGCAAAAUGAAACUUUUAGUUUGUCAUCCCGAAACUAAGCGAGCUACUUCAAAAUAGCCUAAAGGGCUAACCCGUCUCUGUUGCAAAAGAGUGGGGAGAUUUUUAAGUAGAGGUGAAAAGCCUACCGAGCCUAGAGAUAGCUGGUUGUUCAGGAAAAGAGUCUUAGCUCUACCUUAAAUUUUAUGGUGACCCAAACACACCCCUUGAUUUAAGAGCUAUUCAAAUAAGGUACAGCUUAUUUGAAACAGGGUACAACCUCUAACACCGGGUAAACAUGGAGAGCCCGAACAAAGUGGGCCUAAAAGCAGCCACCUUUUAAAAAGCGUUAAAGCUUGACCAUUAUUCCUUUCCCCUAAUUCCUCAAACAUCUUCUAACCCUUAACUACUACUGAACUAUUUUAUAUUUUUAUAAGAGCAAUUAUGCUAGAACUAGUAACAAGAAAUUACGCCUUUCUCCUUAAUGUAAGCAUAAACCAAAAUGGACCUCCCAUUGGUAAUUAACGUAAAUGUUCCUAUUAUAGCAACAUUUCUAGAAAACCCUAUAAAUAUGUACGUUAAUCUUACACCAGCACAUUACAGGAAAGAUUAAAAGAGAAGAGACUCGCAACC
Molecule: ribosomal RNA, 1090 nt
Filed under: Pelophylax saharicus (Sahara frog)
Lineage: Eukaryota; Metazoa; Chordata; Amphibia; Anura; Ranidae
Description: partial 16S ribosomal RNA
Rfam family: Bacterial large subunit ribosomal RNA (bases 1-509)
Source: RNAcentral